Non-coding RNA from Ictidomys tridecemlineatus (thirteen-lined ground squirrel), 72 nucleotides. The record is from Rfam. NCBI's taxonomy places the organism in Eukaryota, Metazoa, Chordata, Mammalia, Rodentia, Sciuridae.
AGGGUUGUAGCUCAGUGAUAGAGCACUUGCCUUGCGUGCAUGAGGCCCUAGGUUAGAUCCUCAGCACCACAU